GAUGAAGAACGCAGCGAAAUGCGAUACUUGGUGUGAAUUGCAGAAUCCCGUGAACCAUCGAGUCUUUGAACGCAAGUUGCGCCCGAAGCCACUAGGCCGAGGGCACGCCUGCCUGGGCGUCACACGCCGUUGCCCCCCCAUCUACUCCUUCGGGAUUGCGGGGGGGCGGAUGAUGACCUCCCGUGCGCCUAGCCGCGCGGUUGGCAUAAAUACCAAGUCCUCGGCGACGCACGCCACGACAAUCGGUGGUUGCGAAACCUCGGUUGCCCGUCGUGUGCGUUCGUCGCGCAUCGAGGGCUCGAAAAAAUGCUCGGCUCCGGCUGGGCUUUCAACGCGACCCCAGGUCAGGCGGGGUUACCCGCUGAAUUUAAGCAUAUCAAUAAGCGGAGGA
Molecule: unclassified non-coding RNA, 391 nt
Filed under: soil metagenome
Description: partial contains 5.8S ribosomal RNA, internal transcribed spacer 2, and large subunit ribosomal RNA
Rfam family: 5.8S ribosomal RNA (bases 1-122)
Source: RNAcentral